GCAACAACAUUAACUGUUCUGCCACCCUCAGCCUUAAUGAACUGUUUCCUUCUCCCCAUUAGGUCUCUUCAAUAUCUUUAUGCUUUAAAUUCCUAAUCAUCUCUUCAAAUGCCACGACGACGGCAUGCCAGACUUCCAUUCUUGACCAAGCUCCCACCAAUUUCAGCCACCUACUAUGCUUCAAGGAAGAGGAGCACCAACUGAAGGAAGUCAGGCAGACAAAAAUAUACCUUUAAAGCCAGCUAAAUGCAUAAACCGUGCAAGUUCAAGUAAGUCUAAAAAGAUUGGUGUUGUAUCAUGGAUAAUAAAGGAUGUGAACUGAACAGCAAAGCAACUUUGAAAGAAGAAAUUCGAGCACUCCUGUAACGCUAUUACAGCGCCAGCAACCCGGGUUCAAUACCAGCCGCUGUCUGUAAGGAGUUUGUACGUUCUCCCCGUGUCUGCGUGGGUUUCCUCUGGGUGCUCUGGUUUCCUCCCACAUUCCAAAGACAUACGGGUUAGGAAGUUGCGGGCAUGCUAUGUUGGCGCCAGAAGCGUGGCGACACUUGCGGGCUGCCCCCAGAACACUACGCAAAAGAUGCAUUUCACUGUCUGUUUCGAUGUACAUGUGACUAAUAAAGAAAUCUUAAAUAAAAUUAGAUAAUUAGA
Pristis pectinata (smalltooth sawfish) is the source of this 648-nucleotide long non-coding RNA. RefSeq lists it as uncharacterized. The transcript is spliced from 3 exons. NCBI's taxonomy places the organism in Eukaryota, Metazoa, Chordata, Chondrichthyes, Rhinopristiformes, Pristidae. The record is from RefSeq and is a predicted model, not a curated record.